GCAAAACGCGAAGAACCUUACCAGGUCUUGACAUCCCGGUGACCACUAUGGAGACAUAGUGUCCCUUCGGGGGAACUGAGACAGGUGGUGCAUGGUUGUCGUCAGCUCGUGUCGUGAGAUGUUGGGUUAAGUCCCGCAACGAGCGCAACCCUUAUUGAUAGUUACUAACGCGUAGAGGCGAGGACUCUAUUGAGACUGCCGGGGACAACUCGGAGGAAGGUGGGGACGACGUCAAAUCAUCAUGCCCCUUAUGACCUGGGCUACACACGUGCUACAAUGGCCGAUACAGAGAGAAGCGAAAGCGCGAGCCGGAGCGGAUCUCACAAAAGCGGUCGAAGUUCGGAUUGUGGGCUGCAACCCGCCCACAUGAAGUCGGAGUUGCUAGUAAUCGCGGAUCAGCAUGCCGCGGUGAAUACGUUCCCGGGUCUUGUACACACCG
RNAcentral lists this ribosomal RNA (439 nucleotides) under uncultured bacterium. Its description in RNAcentral is "bacterial SSU rRNA". It matches the Rfam family "Bacterial small subunit ribosomal RNA", at positions 954 to 1392 of the family's 1533-position model. The record is from RNAcentral.